Molecule: transfer RNA, 82 nt
Organism: Loxodonta africana (African savanna elephant)
Lineage: Eukaryota; Metazoa; Chordata; Mammalia; Proboscidea; Elephantidae
Rfam family: tRNA
About the family: Transfer RNA (tRNA) molecules are approximately 80 nucleotides in length. Their secondary structure includes four short double-helical elements and three loops (D, anti-codon, and T loops).
Source: Rfam
GACGAGGUGGCCGAGUGGUUAAGGCGAUGGACUGCUAAUCCAUUGUGCAUUGCAUACGUGGGUUCGAAUCCCACCCUCAUCG